This 2373-nucleotide ribosomal RNA is filed under the name Campylobacter jejuni. Its description in RNAcentral is "bacterial LSU rRNA". It matches the Rfam family "Bacterial large subunit ribosomal RNA", at positions 1 to 2378 of the family's 2925-position model. Lineage: Bacteria; Pseudomonadati; Campylobacterota; Epsilonproteobacteria; Campylobacterales; Campylobacteraceae. The record is from RNAcentral.
AGGUAAGCUACUAAGAGCGAAUGGUGGAUGCCUUGACUGGUAAAGGCGAUGAAGGACGUACUAGACUGCGAUAAGCUACGGGGAGCUGUCAAGAAGCUUUGAUCCGUAGAUUUCCGAAUGGGGCAACCCAAUGUAUAGAGAUAUACAUUACCUAUAUAGGAGCGAACGAGGGGAAUUGAAACAUCUUAGUACCCUCAGGAAAAGAAAUCAAUAGAGAUUGCGUCAGUAGCGGCGAGCGAAAGCGCAAGAGGGCAAACCCAGUGCUUGCACUGGGGGUUGUAGGACUGCAAUGUGCAAGAGGUAAGUUUAGCAGAACAUUCUGGAAAGUAUAACCAUAGAGGGUGAUAGUCCCGUAUGCGAAAAACAAACCUUAGCUAGCAGUAUCCUGAGUAGGGCGGGACACGAGGAAUCCUGUCUGAAUCCGGGUCGACCACGAUCCAACCCUAAAUACUAAUACCAGAUCGAUAGUGCACAAGUACCGUGAGGGAAAGGUGAAAAGAACUGAGGUGAUCAGAGUGAAAUAGAACCUGAAACCAUUUGCUUACAAUCAUUCAGAGCCCUAUGUAGCAAUACAGGGUGAUGGACUGCCUUUUGCAUAAUGAGCCUGCGAGUUGUGGUGUCUGGCAAGGUUAAGCAAACGCGAAGCCGUAGCGAAAGCGAGUCUGAAUAGGGCGCUUAGUCAGAUGCUGCAGACCCGAAACGAAGUGAUCUAUCCAUGAGCAAGUUGAAGCUAGUGUAAGAACUAGUGGAGGACUGAACCCAUAGGCGUUGAAAAGCCCCGGGAUGACUUGUGGAUAGGGGUGAAAGGCCAAUCAAACUUCGUGAUAGCUGGUUCUCUCCGAAAUAUAUUUAGGUAUAGCGUUGUGUCGUAAUAUAAGGGGGUAGAGCACUGAAUGGGCUAGGGCAUACACCAAUGUACCAAACCCUAUCAAACUCCGAAUACCUUAUAUGUAAUCACAGCAGUCAGGCGGCGAGUGAUAAAAUCCGUCGUCAAGAGGGAAACAACCCAGACUACCAGCUAAGGUCCCUAAAUCUUACUUAAGUGGAAAACGAUGUGAAGUUACUUAAACAACCAGGAGGUUGGCUUAGAAGCAGCCAUCCUUUAAAGAAAGCGUAAUAGCUCACUGGUCUAGUGAUUUUGCGCGGAAAAUAUAACGGGGCUAAAGUAAGUACCGAAGCUGUAGACUUAGUUUACUAAGUGGUAGGAGAGCGUUCUAUUUGCGUCGAAGGUAUACCGGUAAGGAGUGCUGGAGCGAAUAGAAGUGAGCAUGCAGGCAUGAGUAGCGAUAAUUAAUGUGAGAAUCAUUAACGCCGUAAACCCAAGGUUUCCUACGCGAUGCUCGUCAUCGUAGGGUUAGUCGGGUCCUAAGUCGAGUCCGAAAGGGGUAGACGAUGGCAAAUUGGUUAAUAUUCCAAUACCAACAUUAGUGUGCGAUGGAAGGACGCUUAGGGCUAAGGGGGCUAGCGGAUGGAAGUGCUAGUCUAAGGUCGUAGGAGGUUAUACAGGCAAAUCCGUAUAACAAUACUCCGAGAACUGAAAGGCUUUUUGAAGUCUUCGGAUGGAUAGAAGAACCCCUGAUGCCGUCGAGCCAAGAAAAGUUUCUAAGUUUAGCUAAUGUUGCCCGUACCGUAAACCGACACAGGUGGGUGGGAUGAGUAUUCUAAGGCGCGUGGAAGAACUCUCUUUAAGGAACUCUGCAAAAUAGCACCGUAUCUUCGGUAUAAGGUGUGGUUAGCUUUGUAUUAGGAUUUACUCCGAAAGCAAGGAAACUUACAACAAAGAGUCCCUCCCGACUGUUUACCAAAAACACAGCACUCUGCUAACUCGUAAGAGGAUGUAUAGGGUGUGACGCCUGCCCGGUGCUCGAAGGUUAAUUGAUGGGGUUAGCAUUAGCGAAGCUCUUGAUCGAAGCCCGAGUAAACGGCGGCCGUAACUAUAACGGUCCUAAGGUAGCGAAAUUCCUUGUCGGUUAAAUACCGACCUGCAUGAAUGGCGUAACGAGAUGGGAGCUGUCUCAAAGAGGGAUCCAGUGAAAUUGUAGUGGAGGUGAAAAUUCCUCCUACCCGCGGCAAGACGGAAAGACCCCGUGGACCUUUACUACAGCUUGACACUGCUACUUGGAUAAGAAUGUGCAGGAUAGGUGGGAGGCUUUGAGUAUAUGACGCCAGUUGUAUAUGAGCCAUUGUUGAGAUACCACUCUUUCUUAUUUGGGUAGCUAACCAGCUUGAGUUAUCCUCAAGUGGGACAAUGUCUGGUGGGUAGUUUGACUGGGGCGGUCGCCUCCCAAAUAAUAACGGAGGCUUACAAAGGUUGGCUCAGAACGGUUGGAAAUCGUUCGUAGAGUAUAAAGGUAUAAGCCAGCUUAACUGCAA